Molecule: ribosomal RNA, 466 nt
Filed under: uncultured bacterium
Lineage: Bacteria
Description: partial 16S ribosomal RNA
Rfam family: Bacterial small subunit ribosomal RNA
Source: RNAcentral
GACGAACGCUGGCGGCGUGCUUAACACAUGCAAGUCGAACGGAAAGGCCCUGCUUGCAGGGUACUCGAGUGGCGAACGGGUGUGUAACACGUGGGUGAUCUGCCCUGCACUUCGGGAUAAGCCUGGGAAACUGGGUCUAAUACCGGAUAGGAGCCAUUUUUAGUGUGAUGGUUGGAAAGUUUUUUUCGGUGUAGGAUGAGCUCGCGGCCUAUCAGCUUGUUGGUGGGGUAAUGGCCUACCAAGGCGGCGACGGGUAGCCGGCCUGAGAGGGUGGACGGCCACAUUGGGACUGAGAUACGGCCCAGACUCCUACGGGAGGCAGCAGUGGGGAAUAUUGCACAAUGGGCGCAAGCCUGAUGCAGCGACGCCGCGUGGGGGAUGACGGCCUUCGGGUUGUAAACUCCUUUCGCUAGGGACGAAGCUUUUUGUGACGGUACCUAGAUAAGAAGCACCGGCUAACUACGUG